AACGAACGCUGGCGGCGUGCCUAACACAUGCAAGUCAACUUGACUGAAGGAGCAAUCUGACAGUAGAGUGGCGCAAGGGUGCGUAACGCGUAAGUAACUUGCCCAAGGUAAGGAAUAACGUCGAGAAAUCGGCGCUAAUACCUCAUAAUGCAGCGGAUCCGCAUGGAUAUGUUGUUAAAGGUUUACCGCCUUGGGAUAGGCUUGCGUCUGAUUAGCUAGUUGGUGUGGUAACGGCACACCAAGGCUACGAUCAGUAACUGGUCUGAGAGGAUGAUCAGUCACACUGGAACUGAGACACGGUCCAGUCUCCUACGGGAGGCAGCAGUGAGGAAUAUUGGGCAAUGCUCGAAAGAGUGACCCAGCAACGCCGCGUGGAGGAUGAAGGUAUUCUAUAUCGUAAACUCCUGUGAGAGCAGACGAAGACAGAUUAUAAUCUGGAUGACUGUAUGCUCAGAGGAAGCCCCGGCUAACUACGUCG
RNAcentral lists this ribosomal RNA (478 nucleotides) under uncultured bacterium. RNAcentral's name for it is "bacterial SSU rRNA". It matches the Rfam family "Bacterial small subunit ribosomal RNA", at positions 29 to 508 of the family's 1533-position model. The record is from RNAcentral.